CUAUGCAAAUAAAUCAAAAUAUUGAAGUUUGAAGACUCUUGUUUUUUAAAUCAAGAAACCGAGUGUCGUCUUUUUCUCUGAAACAAGAAACGGCUCUCAGUACUUGCCUUUCCCUUCAAAGAAGGUUUAAGACUAGCGAAGCUGAAAAGAGAAUUGAGUUUGCUUAUCUUUUUAGCAAAAGACUUGAAAAGCUUAGUCCCUGGAUUAGUUUUAACGAGUUCUUGUCUAAUAGAGAUGUGAUCUUUCUCUAGAUCCGUUAAUCUCAUCCUCAUCCUCGCCACUUCAAGCUUUAACUCUCUGUUUUCUCUCCUCACUGACGCAUAGUUAUCUCUUGGUGAUAUCGCUCCACUUCCUUGUGAUCCAAGCCAACCAAACAAACAACCAUGAAUUAGCAUAGACGAAUAAAGGCUAAAUCAUACUAUAUACUCCCUCUAUUUAUCAAAGAAAGUCAUUUUUGAAACAUUUAAGGCGGAUUAAAAAAAAUACAAAAUACACUAAUAUUUUUAUUUAAUUUACGAUUAAUUAAAUGGUAAUAAUUUAAUUAAAAAUCUAUUGGUCAUUUAAAAGAGAAAAAUAGAUUUAAUAUGUAAAAUCACAUUGGAAAUGUAUUAAAAAAAUGAUAGUUUUUGUGAAACAUGAGUAUAGAAAGACUAUACAUUAUACAAUGCUGAGGGGUUAUGAAGUAAAAUUACCUGCUCCACUUCCUCCCCGUUGGGGAAACUGAUGACAGUUACCACUGAAUAGAAACUGAGUAGGACUAAUGCUACUGCUCAUUGCGUUUCUGAGUCUAAUCUGCUCAAAGUACAACACUUGUACCGCCAUUUGCACUGGUAACCUCUCGUUUUGCGCUGCAUGGCUACAAGCUUCUUGUGACAGUUUCUGUGAAUCUAUCGUCUUACAAAGUCGGUAGCGCUCUGAAUCCUUUAUAUUCGGAUGUACCUAUCAAAAAUAAAUAAAACCAAUAUUCAAAAUAUCUUUAGACAUAACUAAACGUUUCGAUACUAGGUGUAUUCCUCCGAUUAUAAGUAGGACCUAGUCGUAAACAAAUUAGAUGUUUUAAUUUUAAGUUUAAUUAUAAAAUUAUUUUGAUGAAUUAUAAAAUUUAUAUAUACACAAAAUAAUAAAUUAGAUAAACUUGUGCAUUUAAAUUACAUUUAUUGGUUGGUUUGAUAUAUUUAGACAUAUUUAGAUGUGCACAAAAAGACCAAUGUAGAUUAAUUAAAACAUAUUAAACUAAUUUUAACCGGUUUUGAACGGUUUAAACCGUGGUGAGGCGCAUUAAUAAGAAAAUCGUUUCAGUUACAACCGACUUAAGUGGCCUCAACCCAUUUAUAAAACAUUAAAUAAAACAAUAUGUGAACUGGCUAAUUUAUAAAAUGAGAGAAAGGUUCAAGAGGUUUUUACUUUGAGGUAAAUGUCAACGGCUCGAUAAAGACCAUCACUGAUGAUACGAGCAUGAUCUGGCAAGAGCUCAGCUAAAGCUAUGAACUUCGACGUUGUUAGAUUCGUAUCCAAAGCUAUCUCCGCUAGAUAGUUAUCCAUCAGCUUCGAUACUUUCAAGAUCGAGCUCUGUUUUGGAGAUCCAGGACUGUCGAAAUCGAAAAUCAUCUCUGUUUCAUCACCAAACCGGUUACGAUGAUGUCGAUCUUCUUCUUCAUCAUCGUCUUCUUCGUCUAGAUUCAAGAAUAUAGAGAAGAUUCUCAAGAUAGAAUCAAUGUCGUACAUCGUGUUGUUGACUCCGUUAGGGCUUGUCGGAAUCAAGACAUCUUCGAGGAUGGCUUGGUCUAGCUGAAGACCGAUCCUUCGCUCUAAAUCUGAUCGACAUGAUCUUAUAGAAGCAGAGGAUGAUGAUGUUGCGAUAACCAUUUUGAGAAGACUUGAAAGAAACGCUAUUGGAACAGAGCUUUUUCUUCCUUGCGUGGGAAGUAACCUAACGAUUGUUUCUACAAUCAUUCUCUGUUUCUUCUUUGCUUCUGAAUCGAUAACCCUUUCUUUGUCAAGCUUUGUAUCCCUAACUAUUAGCCCUUGAAGUGACUUAUUCGUGUAACUGAUGAGAAUCUUGCUGAUCACGUCUUGUCUUAACCCUUUUGACCUAACCGCAGAGACAACUCUCUGGAAGAACUCAAGAUUCAAAACAGCUACCGACUUCCCCCACCAGUCUAGUGGAGUCUCUGGCUCCAUAUUCGCACCCGAAAACGUAUAAUCGAGCUUUAAUAGACCCGAGGUGAGCUGCUCUUUGCAGGCGUUGUUGGCGAUUGCUAUGACCAAACGGUUCACCAAGUUGAGAUCUUCAGAGACUGGUGUAAGGGCUUCACAGUGAUGUAGAACGAGUAUGGAGUUAGAGAUACUUGGGAGGACCGUUUCUUUGAAGUAAUGUUCUGUUUUGAUAGCGAGAUUGUCCUCUGAGAAGUCCUCAGCCAUCUCUAGGUAAUGAGAUGCACAACGAAGCUUAGCUACGUUGAGAAGGUUGAUCUCAAUGUUGAUUCCAUAGCAGAACUUAGCUGCUAGCUCAAAGGCCUCAGAUCCUCCAGGAACACUCGAGAGACAUAUGUUGAAGGUUUUGGAAUCUGUAAGAAGCUUCCUGAUCUUUCCACUCCGAGAAACAAGAGGAAACUGAGAACACCAAACCAACAAGCAAAAAAAGUUCAAAACUAUAUAACUCAAGAAACAGAGGAUCCUCUGUUUUGGUAUAGAUGCUCUGUUUUUAGGUUUUGUGUUUGCUUAUUUUUACCUUAUGAAGACAGAAACUUGAAGAUCCAACUUGAACUGUAAGAUCACUAGAGACUUCAGAUAUUGGCCUGCAAGAACACAUAAACAAACCCAUUAAGAUUCUGAAGAUUUUUCAAUAAUGAUUUUCUGAAUUAUUGAAGCAAAAGAUCUGUGUGGACUUGAAUUUGAUGAUCAUGUAAGAGCUGCUUGUGUCUUCCAUGACUCCAACGCUAAGAUUCUAGGAUAAGGAAACAGUAAAAUCUAUCAUCUAAAAUAGUGUGUGUGUUUUCCUUGGUUUUGAGGCCAUUUUUAGAUUCACAGUUGAGACAUGUAAAAGGUUAUGUCAACAUCAAACUUUUCAAAUGAAGACAGAACCAAAUGAAGUGUGAUUGUACGGAUAUGUUCCACAUAGAUACAAAAUAGGAUGGAGAAAUUAUUGGUUUUUGAUGAACAGUGAGAGAUUGUGACAAUAAAUGACUUGUGGCUACAGAGAUUCACAUCACAUACAAAAAGAUUUGGAUCUUUAUUAGCUAAAUUUUUCAUGGGAAAGAACAAAUCUCUUAUUCGUUUUUCUGACAUGUUUCUAGUGAAUGCAGACAAAACUAAAAUGGUAAUCAUAAAUUACAAUACUAUAUAUAUUACCAUUCAGAGGCAUGUCUGAUGCUUGAGUUCAGACGAAACCCUCUCUUUCCUGUGAAAGUUGGCUUCACUUCUCCUACUGUAGAAAGUCCCAUCUCUCUCUCUUCACAGAAGAAGAAGAAGAAGAGCUCUUGUGGUUGUUAUUACAAGGAGUGUACGUAGUUAAUGAUGCAAAAAGGUACAGAAAAAAAGAGUUUUGAUAUCUUUGGUUAAUUAAUCUGUUAAUUACGUGUAAAGCUGAGGUCAUUAUUAUGAUACAUGAAAUUAAGUUAGUGAAAACAAAUGCAUGUAUAUACAUUAAUUGCUACUAGUGUUCUUUGAUGUAUGAGAUGCAUUUCAAUCUCAUUAUUAUGGGCUAAGGCAUCUAUUUUUCUCUUGUUGAUCCUGUGGUAAUUGUAAUGAUUACUUAUAAUUUCAUGAUUAUGUCCACUCUUGGUUGCCUUCAACUAACCGAAAUUAAUUUUUCAUUUUACAUUCUCUGCUCAAAAAAUUAUUGAUAAACUAUUUAAAACCUAUUUACAAACAAUACCAUACUGAAACGAUUUUUAACAGCAAAAAGUUAACACUAAAUUAUUUUAUUGCAUAGUGUUUUAUCUACUAAUGUGAUAAUAUCCAGUGGUGGUUUUUUUUUUGUAAUGCAAAAUUCUAUUUAUAAAUUUUAUAAGAGGAUAUGUAUUGUGUCAUGUGAAUUAUUUGGCGAGACCAAGCUUUAAGCUCACUCCAUGCUUUAAUUUUUGAAUAUGUAUUGUUUAAUGUGUGGUCCAAAAAAAUGUUAGAUGAUUUCUUGCUUUGGUUAUGAAAAUGAAAGAAAUAAAGAAUUAGAAAAGCUGUAGUGAUUCCUAGUGAUUACACCGAUUGAGAUUUAUACUUAGCUUUAAGGCUGUGUUAAUGUGUUAUGUAAUGAUGUUAGGCUGAUCGAUUAAUCUCGAGCCCCUCGAAACAUAAUAUAUAAUUUUAUGGUAAUUAUGAAAAAUUAAUCUAUUGUUGGAUUAGUUACAUUACGUAUGAAUAUAUGAUAAGCUUUUUGUGAGUUUGAUUGUGCAAGGUUGACCAAUAGAUUAGUGAUAAAAAAAAAUUAUCACAAGAUAUAGUGGUAUUAAAAAAAAAACAGUUUACCAAACAAAACAGUGAUUUUUUUAGUACUAAUUGUUGGCUAAGAUUGGUUGGUUCUGUCAGAAUGUAUAAUAGUCCAUCGAAAAUGUAAAGCUGUUAAAAGAUUUGGACUCAAAUGCAAACAAAAAAAAAACAAAUUUUGUGACGGCGCGUCAGGCUCCGAGCAUUAUCUGAUCCUCUUCUUCCUCCUCGGUUCGCGUAUUCGAAUCUCUUCAACGGGAGCUCCAAGCUUCUAAUGGAAAAUUAGGGCUUUUCAAUUUCUUUUUGAGUUUCCGUUGCGAUGGUUGAGAGACGGAGUCCUCUGGUGCUCUCAUCCACCAGAGCCACACUCCGUUCAGUCCUGAAUUCGUUUCGACCCGACGAGAUUCCGGGAAGACCCGAUUCGAUACGGCGGAGCGUUAGGUUGCCAGCUGGCGUGCUCAGAUGGAAACGAGACGGAGUAAAUGAUUCAAAGUUUGAUUCUUUAGAUGACUCUUCACUGGUCGGACUCUCGACUCAAUUGCUCAAGAGACUAUCCAUCAACUCUGGCUCUUUCGUAAGUCUUUAGUGUAAAAAAAUGGAUCUUUUAUUGUAAAAAUGGGUGCUUUAUUGUAAAAAUGGAUGCUUUAUUGUGAGUUUUGAUGUUAACAUUUGAGUAUUUUUAUAUUGCAAGGUUGUUAUCAACAACAUCGACAUAGGCAUUCAACGGGUUGCGCAAGUUGUUGUACUUGAUCCUCCCAAUAAGACGCUGGAAGAUUCAUCUGUCACUAGCUUACCAGUUUCGGACUCUCUUCACACAAUGCUUGUCUUUCCCACUUUUGAUACGAUGAGUCAACAGUUACUAGACCAAGAGGUUGCUUACUUGUCUCCUAUGUUAGCUUUUAAUCUUAGCUUGCACAUGUCUUGCCUGAAGUCCCUAGUACAUCGAGGGAACGAGGUCUUGGAGAAGUACUUUGUUGCUAAAUUCGAUGAAGAGUCGGCGUCGGUGGCGGGUGAGUCAAAGAUUGGUUUGGAUUUGGAACCUGUGUCCGAAGUUCCAGGGUAUGCGUCACAUCUAAGGGUUUCUUUUGUAAAGAUCCCGGAGUGUGGUACCAUUCAGUCAUUGGUAGUUAGUUCCUCGUUUGAAGAUGAAGAGAGACAAGGGUUGAUAGAUUCCGCAUUGAACAAGUAUUUUGGAACUGAUAGAGUACUCUCAAGAGGCGAUGUGUUUCGAGUUUGCACUGAGUGGAACUGUGGUUCAAGCAUUUGUGUUCAAUGUGGUCAAGGGUUAGGCUCCAAAGAAGAGGACUUUAUCUAUUUCAAGGUUGUUGCGAUGGAACCUUCUGAUGAGAGGUUUCUUCGAGUCCAUCACUCACAAACCGCUCCUCUUCAAGUAAGGAACCAACUAGGUUCGGUGCUCAGAAGAGCCGGAGCUAUAUGGAUUUAAGAGGCGCCUUAAUCGCAAUUAAGCGCGUAAUGUUUUUACUUAUAUAUUUCUAGUAUAGAAUAUGAUCAGUGUUUGAAACAUACUAUAUCUAGUGUUAAAAUAAAAAGAUUAUUGUCGUUUUUUCUAAAAAAAUACAUAAAAUGAAAAAUAAUUCGAUUCAAUUCGCUUGUGUAAUGCAAUAGCAAUUGUUAAGAAAUAAAAUCGUCUUUAAGUUUCAAAAAAAAAAAGAAAAGAUCGUCUUUGCAUAGUAAGUACUUACCUGGAAACAUAUAACUGGAAGAAAGAAUCUAAAUACAUUAUUGAAAAGUUGAUACAAGUCAAUAGCAUUGACCAAAAAAAAUAUAGUUAUUUUUGGGUAAAAUAUAUUUUUAACGCCGUCAGCAAAAUACUAAACCUUAAACCAUUGGAUAAUCCAUAAAACUUGGAUAAAUCCUAAACCCUAAAUCAAAAACAAUAAACAUUAAAUCUUGAAAACACUUAACACUUAGACCCUUGGAUUUAGUAUUUUUAAGAUUUAAUGUUUAGUCUUUUUGAUUUAGGAUUUAGAAUUUGUCCAAGAAUUUAAGGUUUAUCCAAGGGUUUAGGCUUUAUCCAAGGGUUUAGAGUUUAAGAUUUAAUGUUUUGACGAUGGUGUUAAAAAUAUUUUUAAAAAUAACUUCUUUUUUUGUAACUAGUACUAUUUUUAUUUAUUUUUACUUUAUUAUUUUUAAAUCAUGAUAAAAUUGAUAAUAUUUUAUUUUCUUUUUUAAAAAAUACUAAAUAUGAAAUAAUUAAUCUCUAUUAGUCGGUGAACUCUAGGAAGUGAACCCAAGAAUAACUCAAAAAAUAAAAUACAAGUCAAUAGCAAAGACUGGACAAAACACGAUCGCUCACAUUUCACAAACACACACUAUAUAUAGCUAUACAUACACACACUAUCACAAAUCAAACUCCCCAACCAAAAAAUAAUAAUUAUUCACUAUGCAAAUAAAUCAAAAUAUUGAAGUUUGAAGACUCUUGUUUUUUAAAUCAAGAAACCGAGUGUCGUCUUUUUCUCUGAAACAAGAAACGGCUCUCAGUACUUGCCUUUCCCUUCAAAGAAGGUUUAAGACUAGCGAAGCUGAAAAGAGAAUUGAGUUUGCUUAUCUUUUUAGCAAAAGACUUGAAAAGCUUAGUCCCUGGAUUAGUUUUAACGAGUUCUUGUCUAAUAGAGAUGUGAUCUUUC
RNAcentral lists this long non-coding RNA (7070 nucleotides) under Brassica napus (rape). RNAcentral describes it as "long non-coding RNA (BNAP_LNC008513)". The record is from RNAcentral. Lineage: Eukaryota; Viridiplantae; Streptophyta; Magnoliopsida; Brassicales; Brassicaceae.